RNAcentral lists this unclassified non-coding RNA (310 nucleotides) under plant metagenome. Its description in RNAcentral is "partial contains 5.8S ribosomal RNA, internal transcribed spacer 2, and large subunit ribosomal RNA". The stretch from base 1 to 105 matches the Rfam family "5.8S ribosomal RNA", at positions 50 to 154 of the family's 154-position model. The record is from RNAcentral.
GAAAUGCGAUAAGUAGUGUGAAUUGCAGAAUUCAGUGAAUCAUCGAAUCUUUGAACGCACAUUGCGCCCCUUGGUAUUCCAUGGGGCAUGCCUGUUCGAGCGUCAUUUGUACCCUCAAGCUCAGCUUGGUGUUGGGUGUUUGUCCCCGUCUCCGCGCGUGGACUCGCCCCAAAGUGAUUGGCAGCCGGCGUACUGGUCCCGGAGCGCAGCACAUGUCGCGCAAACGAGUGCCUUGGUACGGCGGCGUCCAUAAGCCCCUCUCUCACGCUCUUGACCUCGGAUCAGGUAGGGAUACCCGCUGAACUUAAGC